CAUACAGUCCUCGCUUUUGUGUACCGUAAGGUGGUACACGAAUAAGGGCUGGGCAAGACCGGUGCCAGCCGCCGCGGUAAUACCGGCAGCCCGAGUGAUGGCCGAUAUUAUUGGGCCUAAAGCGUCCGUAGCCGGCCGGUCAAGUCCGUUGGGAAAUCUGUCCGCUUAACGGGCGGGAGUCCAGCGGAAACUGUCCGGCUUGGGACCGGAAGACCCGAGGGGUACGUCCGGGGUAGGAGUGAAAUCCUGUAAUCCCGGGCGGACCACCGAUGGCGAAAGCACCUCGGGAGGACGGAUCCGACGGUGAGGGACGAAAGCUAGGGUCUCGAACCGGAUUAGAUACCCGGGUAGUCCUAGCCGUAAACGAUGCCCGCUAGGUGUGACGCAGGCUACGAGCCUGCGCUGUGCCGUAGGGAAGCCGUGAAGCGGGCCGCCUGGGAAGUACGUCCGCAAGGAUGAGACUUAAAGGAAUUGGCGGGGGAGCACUACAACCGGAGGAGCCUGCGGUUUAAUUGGAGUCAACGCCGGA
This 529-nucleotide ribosomal RNA is filed under the name uncultured archaeon. RNAcentral describes it as "bacterial SSU rRNA". It matches the Rfam family "Archaeal small subunit ribosomal RNA", at positions 394 to 922 of the family's 1478-position model. The record is from RNAcentral.